UACGUAGGGUGCGAGCGUUAAUCGGAAUUACUGGGCGUAAAGCGUGCGCAGGCGGUCUGUUAAGACCGAUGUGAAAUCCCCGGGCUUAACCUGGGAACUGCAUUGGUGACUGGCAGGCUUUGAGUGUGGCAGAGGGGGGUAGAAUUCCACGUGUAGCAGUGAAAUGCGUAGAGAUGUGGAGGAAUACCGAUGGCGAAGGCAGCCCCCUGGGACAACACUGACGCUCAUGCACGAAAGCGUGGGGAGCAAACAGG
RNAcentral lists this ribosomal RNA (254 nucleotides) under uncultured bacterium. Its description in RNAcentral is "partial 16S ribosomal RNA". It matches the Rfam family "Bacterial small subunit ribosomal RNA", at positions 524 to 776 of the family's 1533-position model. The record is from RNAcentral.